Molecule: ribosomal RNA, 460 nt
Filed under: uncultured bacterium
Lineage: Bacteria
Description: partial 16S ribosomal RNA
Rfam family: Bacterial small subunit ribosomal RNA
Source: RNAcentral
CUACGGGCGGCUGCAGUGAGGAAUAUUGGUCAAUGGGCGCAAGCCUGAACCAGCCAUCCCGCGUGGAGGAAGACGGCCCUAUGGGUUGUAAACUCCUUUUAUAAGGGAAGAAUAUACGUAUCGUGAUAUGUUUUGACGGUACCUUAUGAAUAAGCAUCGGCUAACUCCGUGCCAGCAGCCGCGGUAAUACGGAGGAUGCAAGCGUUAUCCGGAUUCAUUGGGUUUAAAGGGGUGCGCAGGCGGGCAAAUAAGUCAGUGGUGAAAUCUUAAGGCUCAACCGUGAAACUGCCAGUGAUACUGGUAAUCUUGAGUACGGCCGAGGUAGGCGGAAUGUGGAAUGUAGCGGUGAAAUGCUUAGAUAUUACAAAGAACACCAAUUGCGUAGGCAGGUUACUAGACCGUAACUGACGCUGAGGCACGAAAGCGUGGGUAGCGAACAGGAUUAGAUACCCGUGUAGUC